AGCGAACGUUUGCGGCGGGCUUAACACAUGCAAGUCGAACGGGCUGUUCCUUCGGGGGCAGUCAGUGGCGCACGGGUGCGUAACACGUAGGUAAUCAACCCUCUGGUUGGGGAUAACACUUCGAAAGGAGUGCUAAUACCCGGUAUGGCGCAGCGGUCUUCGGAUCGCGGCGAGAAAGACCCGCAAGGGUUGCCAGAGGACGAGCCUGCGGCCCAUCAGCUAGUUGGCGAGGUAACGGCUCACCAAGGCGAAGACGGGUAGCUGGUCUGAGAGGAUGAUCAGCCACACUGGAACUGAGACACGGUCCAGACUCCUACGGGAGGCAGCAGUGGGGAAUAUUGCGCAAUGGGCGAAAGCCUGACGCAGCCACGCCGCGUGAGCGAUGAAGGCCUCGGUC
This 397-nucleotide ribosomal RNA is filed under the name uncultured bacterium. Its description in RNAcentral is "bacterial SSU rRNA". It matches the Rfam family "Bacterial small subunit ribosomal RNA", at positions 29 to 424 of the family's 1533-position model. The record is from RNAcentral.